RNAcentral lists this long non-coding RNA (1531 nucleotides) under Homo sapiens (human). Its description in RNAcentral is "epigenetically induced MYC interacting lncRNA 1". Lineage: Eukaryota; Metazoa; Chordata; Mammalia; Primates; Hominidae. The record is from RNAcentral.
AGAAACGCCCUCACAGACACCCCGGAAGUCACGUACCCACUCUGUAGGUGCCCCGGGGCACAGGCAAGCGGACGAGCCAGUUAUCCCUCAGAGCUCCUGCUGCCUCGCCCGCUUUCUCUCGGAAACGUGAAGUGUGGCCUCAGCUGAAAGUGAGGUGGGCCUCAUUCAAUCAGUUGAAUUCUUCAAGAGAGAAAAACUGAAGUCCCUUAGAAGGAAAGAGUUCUGCCUUCAGACUGUCUUUGAACUUAAGACUGUAGCGUCGACUCCUGCCGGAAUUUCCAGCCUGCUGGCCAGCUCUGCAGAUUCACACUUGCCAGCCUCCACAAUCGCAGCUGAGGCGGAGGAACCCUAAGGGCUCAUUGAGAUCAUGGAUUUGCCCUUCUAUGCAUUGAUGGAGCACCUGCUGCCCACAGCGUCUGUAUUUGGUGCUGGGAUGCUGAGGACACUGAGAUCUUCAAACAGAGGCUGCCACUCUAAGCAAACAGAUCCCGAGCCCUGGACUCUGAAGCUUGGGCCCAGUUCUCCUUUUCUCCGGGUUUCAGAUCCCACUGUGAAGUGAGGGGGCCCUUCUGAUUCAGGACCCGGGGAAGCCAGGGGCAUGAGCAUCGGUGCCUCUUCUCUAUUUCAAGGACCCUUCUGGGUGUAAAGUUCUCUGAGAUGCCUUACAUGGAUUCCCACCACUGCAAGAUAACCAUCGUAUGUAAAGUGUUAUGACCAGCAGAGCGUAAUUGAAGUGCAUUCCAGAGGGAAAGACAGCGGCUCAGUCUCCAGAAUAAAAUAAAUUUGACACGACACAUGAAGAAGAAAUAAGAAAAGGAGACCCACGGUUAUGAGGAAAAAUGGCCAUGAAAUGUCUAGAGAGGGCCUGGAUGGUGGCAUCAUCUAAUAAAUAAGGCCCUUUAAUAUGCCUAUGGCAGCUAUGUUAAAGGACCUCGUAGAGAGGUAGAAACAAGCUGGAAAUUUCACCAGAUAGAUGGAAACUAUAGAAACAUCCAAAUGGAAAUGACAGAAAUGAAAACUGAGAUCCAGAAUGAAGAUUAAUUAAAUGGGGUCACCAGCAGAUUGAGCACAGCUGGACAUUGCCUGGUGUGGCCCCAGGCCAUUCUUCACUUGUCAAUUCUCCUUGGACUCCUGGGAUGGUUGGAGCGUGUCCCGUACAUGGCAAAUGGAUAAGCAACAGAGGACAAUGGACAACGCUUGCUGUCUGAUAUUGUCUGGCCCCAUGUCCCUACCCAAAUCUCAUCUCGAAUUGUAAUCCUCAUAAUUCCCACGUGUCGAGGGAGGGACCGGGUAGGAGGUGAUUUGAUCAUGGGGCUGGUUUUCUGCAUGCUGUUCUCGUGAUAGUGAGUGAGUUCUCAUGAGAUCAGUUGGCUUUAUGUUUGAAGUUACUCCUUCACAUGCCCUUCUCUCUCCUGCUGCCUUGUGAAGAAGGUGCUUGCUUCCCCUUCGUCUUCUGCCAUGAUUGUAAGUUUCCUGAGGCCUCCCUAGCCAUGUGAAACUGUGAGUCAAUUAAACCUCUUUCCUUUAUAAA